RNAcentral lists this ribosomal RNA (253 nucleotides) under uncultured bacterium. RNAcentral's name for it is "partial 16S ribosomal RNA". It matches the Rfam family "Bacterial small subunit ribosomal RNA", at positions 524 to 776 of the family's 1533-position model. The record is from RNAcentral.
AACGUAGGAGGCAAGCGUUAUCCGGAGUUACUGGGCGUAAAGCGUGCGUAGGCGGGUUGGUAAGUGGGUGGUGAAAGCGCUCGGCUAAACCGGGCGAGUGCCAUCCAGACUGCCAGUCUAGAGGCGGAUAGAGGGAUGCAGAAUUCCAGGUGUAGCGGUGAAAUGCGUAGAUAUCUGGAGGAAUACCGGUGGCGAAGGCGGCAUCCUGGACCGACAUUGACGCUGAAUACCGAAAGCUAGGGGAGCAAACGGG